This is a non-coding RNA of Dermochelys coriacea (leatherback sea turtle), 770 nucleotides long. Lineage: Eukaryota; Metazoa; Chordata; Testudines; Dermochelyidae. The record is from the annotation of a RefSeq genome assembly.
UCUCCCUGUCUCUCCAACUGAGGGGUUACUUCAGAGUCCUCUGUUUCAAGCUCAACUCCACCAGUGAGAAUGUUACUGCUGCAGGUUCUUAUUGUGACUUCAACAUGGUCUUGUGGAUAUUCGCAAAUAACUCUGAUACAAACUCCAUUGUCUGUCACCAGAGCGGUAACUGAAAGUGCAAAUAUGUGGUGUAAAAUUUCUGGUUUUAAUUUUAACAGUGCUUAUAUACACUGGUAUCGACAGAGCCCUGGGGCAGCUCCAAAGAGGAUUCUGUAUAUUGGAUCAGGAUCAGCUAUUAUGGAUGAAGGCUUUGAUAGCAAAAAGUUUGAAGCUGAGAAAAUUGGUUUUACAUCCACCUCUAAUCUCAGAGUACACCAACUAACCCAAGAGGAUACUGCUACCUAUUAUUGUGCCACCUGGGAUCGCACAGUACUAGAAAGCCAUAGACAGCCUGUACAAAAACCCACUCUGCACUCUGAGCCAAGUGUAUGAAACCAAACACAUCCCUUGUCCUUCCUCUCAAUUUGGAACCAACAGCACAAACUCUUGACUGGUGUCUGCAAUAUGACAGGAAGAAAAACAGCACAGAACUGAAGUUUUGAACUACAUUUUGUUACAAAUCAAAUCAGUUUAGAGCAUGUCAAAGUUGUUUUGACAGAUAGUUUAUUCUCCCUCAAAAAUGCAAUUUCAGUUUGACCAAAACUAUUUGCAAAUUUGGGUUGAAUUUACCAAUAGUUUCGCUGAAAAAAAUGAUUUUUUUUAAAGUUGAA